GGAUAUGUGCCCGAAAGUUAGGAUUUACUUUGAUAAAGUAAAACAUAGGGGUUCAAAUCCCCUCAUUUCCU
Molecule: transfer RNA, 71 nt
Filed under: Pseudohynobius shuichengensis
Lineage: Eukaryota; Metazoa; Chordata; Amphibia; Caudata; Hynobiidae
Description: tRNA-Ile
Rfam family: tRNA
About the family: Transfer RNA (tRNA) molecules are approximately 80 nucleotides in length. Their secondary structure includes four short double-helical elements and three loops (D, anti-codon, and T loops).
Source: RNAcentral